AGAUACCUGAGAUGUACGACAACCUGUUAUUUUGAACCUACAAAUCAUGCAAGGGAAUCAAGAGUAUUACUAGCGAUGUCAGGCCACAAGUUAAUUCCCUUAAGAGCCAUAAUAGGCUACAGGGCAGUGGAAGGCUGAGGGAGUAGGUGAGAUACCCACCUAGAGAAAUCUAGGGCGUCAAAAUUGCAGGACCGGCAUAUUUGGGCAUUAA
RNAcentral lists this non-coding RNA (211 nucleotides) under Cellulosilyticum sp. RNAcentral's name for it is "6S RNA". It matches the Rfam family "6S / SsrS RNA". From Rfam's summary of the family: E. coli 6S RNA was the first non coding RNA to be sequenced, but its function was unknown until recently. It consists of 184 nucleotides that fold into an extended hairpin structure with a large single-stranded internal bulge. The record is from RNAcentral. Lineage: Bacteria; Bacillati; Bacillota; Clostridia; Lachnospirales; Cellulosilyticaceae.